GAUGAACGCUGGCGGCGUGCCUAAUACAUGCAAGUCGAGCGAACAGACGAGGAGCUUGCUCCCCUGACGUUAGCGGCGGACGGGUGAGUAACACGUGGAUAACCUACCUAUAAGACUGGGAUAACUUCGGGAAACCGGAGCUAAUACCGGAUAAUAUAUUGAACCGCAUGGUUCAAUAGUGAAGGACGGUUUUGCUGUCACUUAUAGAUGGAUCCGCGCCGCAUUAGCUAGUUGGUAAGGUAACGGCUUACCAAGGCAACGAUGCGUAGCCGACCUGAGAGGGUGAUCGGCCACACUGGAACUGAGACACGGUCCAGACUCCUACGGGAGGCAGCAGUAGGGAAUCUUCCGCAAUGGGCGAAAGCUUGACGGAGCAACGCCGCGUGAGUGAUGAAGGUCUUCGGAUCGUAAAACUCUGUUAUUAGGGAAGAACAAAUGUGUAAGUAACUAUGCACGUCUUGACGGUACCUAAUCAGAAAGCCACGGCUAACUACGUG
Molecule: ribosomal RNA, 497 nt
Filed under: uncultured bacterium
Lineage: Bacteria
Description: partial 16S ribosomal RNA
Rfam family: Bacterial small subunit ribosomal RNA
Source: RNAcentral